GUGGGUAUAGCUCAGUGGUAAAGCGCUUGCUUAACAUGCAUGAGGUCCUGGGUUCCAUCCCCAGUACCUCUG
RNAcentral lists this transfer RNA (72 nucleotides) under Camelus bactrianus (Bactrian camel). It matches the Rfam family "tRNA". From Rfam's summary of the family: Transfer RNA (tRNA) molecules are approximately 80 nucleotides in length. Lineage: Eukaryota; Metazoa; Chordata; Mammalia; Artiodactyla; Camelidae. RNAcentral also lists the same sequence under 2 other names. The record is from Rfam by way of RNAcentral.